UACGUAGGCAGCGAGCGUUGUUCGGAGUUACUGGGCGUAAAGGGUGUGUAGGCGGUUGUUUAAGUUUGGUGUGAAAUUUCCCGGCUCAACUGGGAGGGUGCGCCGAAUACUGAAUGACUUGGAGUGCGGGAGAGGUGAGUGGAAUUUCUGGUGUAGCGGUGAAAUGCGUAGAUAUCAGGAGGAACACCGGUGGUGUAGACGGCUCACUGGACCGUAACUGACGCUGAGACACGAAAGCGUGGGUAGCAAACAGG
Molecule: ribosomal RNA, 254 nt
Filed under: uncultured bacterium
Lineage: Bacteria
Description: partial 16S ribosomal RNA
Rfam family: Bacterial small subunit ribosomal RNA
Source: RNAcentral